GGCUCUAUCACCACAGAUUGGAUACUCAAAUCUCCAACACACCAUUGACUCAAUGAGUCGAACAUAUCCCAAAAACGUAGCAUUUAGCUAUCACUCUCCAACACUCCAACAUAUCCCGGUGAAUGGAGCUGAGCUCACAUUCCCUUAUCUCUCCAAAAUUGUCCUGAGACUUAAUGCCCUAAAAAUACAACACAAGGGUGAGUACUCACAAAUCCUAUGGCAUG
RNAcentral lists this long non-coding RNA (224 nucleotides) under Gossypium raimondii (Peruvian cotton). RNAcentral's name for it is "long non-coding RNA (GRAI_LNC005712)". Lineage: Eukaryota; Viridiplantae; Streptophyta; Magnoliopsida; Malvales; Malvaceae. The record is from RNAcentral.